This 3531-nucleotide long non-coding RNA is filed under the name Sus scrofa (pig). RNAcentral describes it as "lncRNA (ENSSSCG00000044998.1)". The record is from RNAcentral. Lineage: Eukaryota; Metazoa; Chordata; Mammalia; Artiodactyla; Suidae.
CCAUAUGCCGCAGGAGUGGCCCAAGAAAUAGCAAAAAGACCAAAAAAAAAAAAAAAUAAGAGAGAGAGAUAGAUAUAGCUAUUAUAUAUUUACAUAACAAGGAAAAUAGCAAAGACACACACCAAAAUAUUAAUGCUCAUCAUGUCUGAAUAAUGUAAUUGGUGUCAGUCUUCUUCAAAUUCUUGGUAUUUUCCAAAAUAUGCUUCCACUAAUUUUUGGUUGUAUAACAGACUGAAGUUUGAGAAAGGUAAGAUACAUUUGCUUUGUUUCUUCUUUUUAAAAAAAUGGCUAAUCACGUAAAGAAAGAUAUAUACAGUCAUCUCCUUAACUCAAAAUUCACUGGCACCACUUUGUUUUGUAGAAAAGUAUUAGUUAAUGUUUAAAGCAAUUAGAAACAGGAGUUCCUGUUGUGGCUCAGCAAUUUAACGUCUCUGCAAGGAUGCAGGUUUGAUCCCUGGCCUCACUCAGUGGGGUAAGGAUCCAACAUUGCCACAAUCUGUGGUAUAGGAUGCUGAGGCAGCUCAUUUUGGUGUUGCCCUGGCUCUGGUGUGGGCCUCAGCUGCAGUUCUGUUUCAACCCCUAACCCAGGAACUUCCAAAUGCUACAGGUGUGACCAUAAAAAAGAGAAAAAAUAAAAAUAAAAAAAUAAAACAAUUGGAAACAAAUUUCAUGUUAUUUUGCCCCAAAUUUUUAUUUGUUAAUGUUUGGAAAUGUUAGAUUCCAUAAUAUAACCUGCAUUUUUUAUUUGUGAGCUUACAUAUGUCAUAUUUCCACCGUUAGUGAUCCUAAUCUACACAGAUCAUUAUUGAUAAAUUUUUUUCAAAUUUACUAUUUACAACAUUUUAAAUUUCUUGUGUUAAAACAUUAUUUCAGUGUAAAAAGAUUGACUUCAAUUAUAACAAUUUGUUAAACUAUCAUAUGCUUAUUAAAUGAUCAUUUGGCAAUGUUUUAUAGUUUAUUUUGCCCUUUUAGCUUUAAAAUAAGUAGAGUUAAGCUUAUCUACAAAUAUCACUUUAAACCAGGGUUUCUCGACACUGACACUACUGACUUUGGAUUAGGUAAUUCUUUGUCAUGAGGUGCUGAGUUAAGGUUAGAGUGACAGAGUUGGAAAGUGUUUCUUCUACAAAAAAGGGAUUGUGGAAGACAGACUUCAGAGCCUAGUAAUUCAUGUCAUUUACUGAACUGUAUCACUGUUUCAAAGUCUCAAAAAAUCUUUUGAUGAUGUGAGUGUUCAAAUCUUGAUUUAGGGAACUAAAUUUGCCUUGAAGUUUCCUUCUGACUCCAAACGGGACUUCCAUCUCAAAGAUCACAAAGAAAACAUGGUAAUAAUAAAGUCUCACAUCCAGAAUAAUAUUUUAAUAGAGACCAACUCCUUCAGAAUUGCCUAGAGUGCAGAUAACUGUUAAAAACAGUAAUAUUUGGGGACCAUUACUUAGAAUUUCCAAAAGUCUAAGCAUUUCUUUAGGCAUGCUAAAGAGUUCUAAUUUUAUGUAAGUUUCCUUAAGUCAUUUUAGAAGUGUUCAGAACACUGAACAGAACCUCCAAACAGACUUGGAGAUGAACCUCAUGAAAAGACACAGAUCAUAACAAUUAAAGUAUAUUUUACUGUGGACAUCAGCCCUUGUGAUGAUGCUUUGAUGUUAUUUUGGAAGGUCUUCUAGGAUUUAGUGUCAAUCAGCAUUUAGGUGACACUAAAUUUUUCACUCUGGAAAGUUACCCCAACAUAAAAAAGUUUUAUACACUCACAUACAUCUGUACAAAAGAACAAAUCACUGCAAAUGAAGAAAUUCCUAUAACAAAAUAUGGUAACAAGAUGGCCUAAUAGUUUACCAUCUCUCUAUUCUCUACUUAAAAUAGUCUCAUUGACAGCACCAUUAUAAGUAGAUUUGAGACAUGGUUGUCUACUCUCAGUAAGCCAGAAGGAAUCACAACUAACAUUUACAUCUAAAUUUCUUUUAAGUCUUCUGCUGUCAGAGAACAUAUAAAAUUGAUGUAGGCUUUUGGCUCCUUCCUCCAAAUCAGUCUUAGAAAUACAAAAUAAAUAAAAAGAGAUUGAUAGAUCAAAGAAUAAAAUGUAAAACUAUGCGGCACUUUCAGCAAGGAAGAAACUGGUUAUUUCUUAGUGUGUGUAAAAAUGAGCAGCAUAAAAAGCUGGCUAAAUAGCCAACAUGUGGAAUACUGCAGAAAUCUCUUAGUUGUCUUUUCUUUUCCCUAUAUUUGCUAUGUAGGUCUCUGACUCCCUUAAAAAUGAGAAGGUGCCUAUGAUGGUUAAUUGCAUAUAUCAACUUGGCUAGGCUAUAACACUCUUACUUAAUCAAACACUAAUUUAGGUGUUUCUGUGAAGGCAUUUUGUAGAUGUGGUUAAUAUCUACAAUCAGUUGACAUUAAGUAAAGGAAGUUAUCCUCAACUAGAAGAAGAAAUUCUGGGAGUUCCCAUUGUGGCUUAGCAGUAACGGACCCAACUAUUAUCCAUGAGGAUGUGGGUUUGAUCCCUGGCCCCUUUCAGUAGGUUAAGGAUCCAGUGUUGCAGUGAGCUAUGGUGUAGAUCGCAGAUAUGGCUUGGAUCCUGCAUUGCUGUGGCUGUGGUGUAGGUAGGCAGCUAUAGCUCUAAUCCAACCCCUAGCCUGGGAGACUCCAUAUGCUUCAGGUGUAGCCCUAAAAAGAAAGAUAAAAGUACUGUAGUACUGUAUUUUUUGACAAAAUUCUGAAUCUGCAUAUAAGUGGAUCUGUGCAGUUCAAAGCCAUGUUGUUCAAAAGUCAGCUGUAAGUGAAAACAUUUUCUUGAAAAAGAAAACUUUAAGACUGAUUCUGGUUUAUUAAGAAACUCAAAUUCAGGAAGAUCUCUUUUCUCUCUUUUUUCCUAUUCUCUCAAAGAAAAAAAAUAGUUGAAUACAAUACAAAGCUUACAUGAGUAAGAAAAAAAAAAUAUUGACCCGUUUACUUAUUUAAACUAGCUUUUUCUUCUCUCUCCCUCCAACGCACGUUCCAAGUAAUCAAACCUAGAAUUCUUUUCUAUAUUACAAACCAAGUAUGUUAUCUCUUGAUGAAUAAAAAUCAAUUUUAAUUAUUAAAAAAAUAGUUUUUCUUAAUUGGUUCCAUGAUUUCUGUAAUUUGUUCUCUAACCAGAUUAGAUUUAAAGGCACUGAUGACCAUAUUUCCAUCCCUUCGAUAAGUGGUAUUGGGAAAACUGAACAGCUAAUGUAAAGAAUGAAAUUAGAAUAUUCUCUAACCCCAUACACAAAAAUAAACUCAAAAUGGGUUAAAAAUGUAAAUGUAAGUCUAAAUACUAUAGAACUCUUAGAGGAAAACAUAGGCAGAACAUUCUGACAUAAAUGGCAGCAAUGUCUUUUUGGAUCUGUCUCCUAGAGCAAUGGAAAUAAAAACAAAAAUAAACCAAUGGGACUUAAGUAAACUUCAAAGCUUUUGCACAAAGGAAACCAUAAACAAAACAAAAAGAUGACCUACAGAAUGGGAGAAAAUAUUUGCAAACAAUGCUGCUGACAAGGGAUUAAUCUCCAAAAUAUACAAACA